Molecule: non-coding RNA, 430 nt
Organism: Cinara cedri
Lineage: Eukaryota; Metazoa; Arthropoda; Insecta; Hemiptera; Aphididae
Source: the annotation of a GenBank genome assembly
CGUUUUUUCUGGGGUUUUCCAAUUAUUAAUGAAGACUACGUGGAACAUCGAAAAAUGACUUAAUUACUCACCAAUUAAGUCCAACAAAAAAGUUCUCACGUCUUUUUUUGAUUGGAGCAAGAUUUUUGGUGGAAAAGUUGUUCACAGACACAAAAAAUAAUAAUGAUAAAUACAACACACAUUUCAUAGUAAAACCAAUAGACAUCCCACGUUACGCUCAGAAUUAAAAAAAAAAAAAAAAACAAUAUUAAAACAAAUACAUUCGUGGCUGUGAUCAGAAUAUAAAAUGUUAAAUUUAAAUGUUUAAAAUUAAGUGAACAUACUUCACACGAUUGAUGGGCUACUGUUGUAGGUGAGAAAUUGGGAAGGCAGAUGAAAAAUUUAGUGUAUAUCUGUAUGCAAUGUAUAAUUAUUGCCAACGAAAAAAAAU